RNAcentral lists this long non-coding RNA (29174 nucleotides) under Coffea arabica (coffee). RNAcentral describes it as "long non-coding RNA (CARA_LNC005804)". Lineage: Eukaryota; Viridiplantae; Streptophyta; Magnoliopsida; Gentianales; Rubiaceae. The record is from RNAcentral.
AAGAGAAAAAGUUUUUUGCUUGGUAAUGUUUAUCUUCCUACCUGUUAGCCUUUUUCUUUUGUUGUUUCUAUAGAUAAAAGUUCAAGGAUGGAGUGACAAAUUCUUCAGCUAGUAUAAGAAUGUAACAUUAAAUCUCAAUAUCUUUUCUGGAUCUCUUGAAACUGAAUAGUGGAUAGGCAGUUUCUCUGUGUGAAUAUUUGCUUUUGUUGACUGGGUAAUGUAUUAGUUGAGUCAUGAGCCCUGUGUAAGCUAUUCUUUUAUGAACUUCUACUUUCAAAUGACCAUCCACCUAAUGCAACUUACAAUUUUGUCAGGCUCUUGAUCUGAUUAGGGACAGAAAUCUUCAAAUGCUGACUGAUUCUUGCUUGGAAGGUCAAUUUUCCAGUGAUGAUGGAACUGAGCUAGUACGUUUGGCCUCACGAUGUCUACAAUAUGAGCCUCGUGAGCGACCAAAUCCAAAGUCAUUAGUUGCUUCAUUGAUUCCUCUGCAGAAGGAGAUUGAGGUUUGCUUCCUUUUUUGAGUGGCAUGAAAGUAACUGAUUCAAGACACGCUUUUCUGCCAUGUCUGUGAUCGUAAGCAUGGAUGACAUAAAGUUGUUGUAUUGUGUCAGAAAUGUCAAGUUUAAAAGGUGAAUUUGUCUUAUGGAGACGUGCAGAGACUUAGUGAACAGUUUUGCUGUAAUGCUACAGCUAGCACGUGUUUUGUACUUUGCUUGACUACAAUUGAUUUGCUGUCCUUGCUCUCAAGCAUUUCAAAGAUUUUGUGUAACCAGUUUAGGUAGCUGUUGGAUGUUGCUUGUCUUGUCACUAUAACUUGAUUAUGUAUAUUAUUUGCAAAAAGAGUCUGUAUUAUAGCAUGACUAGUUGUGAUACUUCCAUUUGGAAAUUUCAGAGAAGAUUGUAAACUGACAGUGGAUUCUCGAAAUCCACAAAUGUUCUUGCCUAUUUUUGUCUUUGAAUAGUCAUAUACAAUUGAUGAUUAGCAUUGAUCACCUCAUAUAGAUAUAGAAAUUGAUCAUUAGUGAAUACUUAGAAGAUGAAAAUGGAGAUUAUAAAUUCAGUUAGACCAUAAUACUUGUAUCCAUAUGGUGCCUUAUGGUGAAAGAGUGACUUAUCAGCCUGCAGAAUACAGUAUGUUUAACUAGUGGUUCUUAUUUUAGUUCGAUUAUGAACAGUCAAGUGCAAUGUUUUGCUCAUUUUCAUUUUUGAAAGUUCUUGUUUCAAUGUACUUGGCGCAGGAAGAUAAUUUAUCAUCAUCAUCUUAUUGAUUGUCAUGACCAUGGUUUUUGGUUUCUGUUUUAAGUUUGACUUGAUAUGCUUUCUGUAAAAAAUUUAUAGGAAAAUGUCUUAUAAAAGAAUUGAUGUUGAGUUUGUAGUAGGGAAGUCGUGAGAAGAAGCAAUUGUAUUGAUGUUUAGAAGUGGCUAUGCACAAUCAUUUCUGCUCUCAUACUUAGAAAGUCCUUCCAAGUCAAAAUGCUGGAGUUUUGGUGAUUGGGUGAAACAUAAUCUUCUGUCUCACAUUUGAUGCUACAGUGACAUUCUAAUAGAAGUUGCUUUCCAGGUUCCUUCACAUGUAUUGAUGGGUAUACCACAUGGUGGUGAAGCUAUGUCACUGUCUCCUCUUGGAGAGGCCUGCCAAAGAAUGGAUUUGACUGCUAUGCAUGAGAUCCUGGAGAAACUUGGCUACAAGGAUGAUGAGGGAGCAGCUACAGAGGUUUGUUGCCUAUUAGACAUUUUCAUAAACUUGCGUUGCUUGUUCUUUGAAGAUUGCUAGUGGCCUUGCAUCGUGUGAAGCACUCCUUUUUUCUUUUAUAUGCACACAUGCUCUAGGAGCCCCUCCAUCCUUUUGGAGUAGCUAAGUAGACUAUGGACUGACAGCUUGUCAUGUAUUUUAUUUGUGAUUUUGUAAUAAACUUUUGUUUGUUAACUUUUCUAAUAUCAAAAUCUCUGAGUGCUUCUUAUGGUGAUUGGAUCUUUUAUUAGGUAGAGAUAUUCUGAAGUUUUAUUUUUGUGGGAGGGAAAAGAUGUAUCUUUAAUUGAAUGGGGGUUGAGUUUCCCUCAUAGUUGGGUAUUUAGCAAAAAAUUGGUUCCAGGCAUAUUAUGUGAACCCUCUCUGGAUGCCAUAAAAUUGUGCUUGUUGAGUGUUUGAUCUCUCAUAUUAGCAUUUUCUUGGUAAUUUGCCUCAUCUUUCUUCUGUGAUACUGCAUUAUGGGCAACAUUUUUUUAGGUGGUUCUGCUUAUUGAGGACCGAAAUUAUGGUUACUUCGAUUCUUGUGGUUGUUUUGAACAGUAGUAGAGUACAACUUUUGAAUAAAAUGCGAAAGUUGUCGCUUUGUUCUUUUUAUUAUAUUUAAAGUGUUCUUUUAUGCGCCUGAGAAGCAUCUCUAUUGCUGUGAGACUUGAAUUGAUUGCGCUCAUCACCGUCCUAUUCUCGCAAUGCAGCUUUCCUUUCAGAUGUGGACAAACCAGAUGCAGGAAACUUUGAAUUCUAAGAAGAAGGGUGAUGUUGCUUUUCGCCAUAAAGAGUUGAAGGCUGCAAUUGAAUGCUACACACAGGUUAGAUCACUGUAAUCCUGUAAUAACUAUCCAAUUUCUCUAAACUGGAUUUAUUUUGUGAAUAUAAAAGGAAGUAGUUAAAUAUGAUUCCAAAUUUGUUAAAUAACAGGCCUGUCCUAUUUAGAUGGUGUAUUUGUUUUAUCAUCUGAGCUUUCCUAAAUGAUGAGAACAUGCUUAUAUCCUGGUUUGCAUUUUUUUUUUCUGUUGUAUCAAUUAAUCGAAUUUUAAAAUCAUAUGGGCAUUGGGUGUCCUUACAAUUGUUCUAGGAUCAGCCCUUAGUUCUGGUACGAUCUCCUUUUUUGGGUGUCAAGUUUUCAUUUGUCUUUUAUUUCUGAUCUACUAUAGGUAUGCUUCUGUCCUGUGUUAAUACCUUGUUGCUUUUUUCAGUUUGUUGAGGUGGGGACCAUGGUAUCGCCAACCGUCUUUGCUCGUCGUAGUCUGUCCUAUCUUAUGAGUGACAUGCCACAAGAGGCUCUGAAUGAUGCAGUUCAAGCACAAGUGAUAUCUCCUGUUUGGCACAUCGCUUCAUACUUGCAAGCUGCUGCUCUUUUUGCUUUGGAUAAGGAAAAUGAAGCACAAAUUGCUCUAAAAGAGGGUUCCGUUCUUGAAGAGAAAAGGAAUAUGACUUCCUUGAGAUAAAAGAGUUAACCAAGCGUUGGCUAUCUUCAUUUAAAAUUGCUCCAUUCUGGGAAAAGAUACAAGUAAAAUACAUCUUGGUUUCUGGUGCGGAAAGCUUAGAGGCUCUUCAGUUAUUCAACUUCAAGAAAAAUCAAGAGCUAAACACUACAAACUCUUAUGAUUCUCGAGUACAUGGUUCGGUGGUGUCGUUGAAACAUUCUUUUGGGAACAUCAAAUAGGUGGUUUGUUUCGGUUAGGUUGGUAGAGUCUUUCUCUGUUGAUAGUAGACUAAAGCUUUCCCAAUUAUACAAGUCUUUGGGGAUAAGUUGUUGCAAUUGGAAGGAAUUAUUCUUUCAUAAACAGGUCAAGAGGUCGGGAUUUUCUCGUUACAUGCACAGGCUGGUUGGAGAACAUUGCCAUGCUGUAAUUUAUGUACAGUGCUACAUGGCUUGUUCAUGCUUGAGAUUUGGCUGGUUCUUGUUUCUUGUAUUUGACUAUUUUUCUUGGUACUUUUUGUUGUGAAUUUUAAGGGAUUUUGAUGUCCAACAACAUUUGACUCCUUGUAAAUUGCGUAUGAGUUAGCAGCAAGUUAUUACUUUCUUUGCGGCCUCUGGUGUUGGACCAUUUAGAACUUGAAAUCUUAAACUUCAUCCAAACACUUGUGCUUUGAGAAAACUCUGAAUACUGGGGCAUUUUUGUGGUGAACCAAGGUUACAUGCUGAAGGAAGCUGCACCAACCAACGUAGGCUUUUCUGGUGCCUGUCUGCUUCAGCCUGAAACGAGGACCAGACUUGAUCUCACCCAUCGGUAGUCUAAUUUAAAACUUGAAGCUCGAGUAUGUCAAACGAAAGUGGAACAAUCCAGAUUAUCUAACUUUUGCGCUCGACUGGGGUGUCAAUGCCCCCCCAACACAUUAGCGUAAUCUGUGAAAAGUUUCCCAGUUUAUUCUUGACUCUUGUUGGAUUAAGCUUAGCCAAAUUAUUAAGGUUCCUGAGUCGCAUUCACCAAAUUCACUUCUGUUUAUGGUAAAGAUGCAGCAUUAGUCAAAUUAACGUUCAAUUUUUCGCCUGCAAAUCUAUUCCCAAAAUCAAAUGUAGCCACAAACUCCAAAUCUUGAAAAUAUUUUCAGGCCCCCAGUUUUGUGAGUCACAUCUUGACUUUGCAGCUAUUACCCCCAGUCAGAUCAGAUGGUGACAUAACAUAACAACUAGAUUAAAAAAGAAAAAAAAAACACGCCAUAUAUUCGUAUAGAAACAUCAAUAUUUAACACUUUACAUACAGUAUAAGAUCACCAAUAGUGAUAUUAUGGUGCAAGACCUUACUCACAAUCACCAUGGAAAGAACAUAAAUAAAUGCAAUAAUUUUAAUAUUCAAGCCCUCUUCAAAUCUUAGCUUUCCAGAACCGCCUCUUGAUCAUCAUCAUAGUCUUCAUCACCAGAGGCUGCAGCAUCUUGAUACUGCUGAUAUUCAGAAACCAAAUCAUUCAUGUUACUUUCAGCCUCAGUGAACUCCAUUUCAUCCAUUCCUUCACCAGUGUACCAAUGCAAGAAAGCCUUCCUCCUAAACAUGACUGUAAACUGCUCGGAAACACGCCUAAACAUCUCUUGAAUCGAUGUUGAAUUCCCCAUAAAUGUCGAAGACAUUGCCAACCCUGUUGGUGGAAUGUCACAAACACUUGAUUUUACAUUAUUUGGGAUCCACUCGACAAAGAAUGAUGAGUUCUUGUUUUGCACAUUGAUCAUCUGCUCAUCAACCUCUUUGGUGCUCAUUUUGCCUCGGAACAUUGCUGAGGCUGUCAGGUAUCUACCGUGGCGUGGAUCAGCAGCGCACAUCAUGUUCUUGGCGUCCCACAUUUGUUGCGUGAGCUCCGGAAUGGUGAGUGCUCUGUAUUGCUGCGAUCCUCUUGAAGUUAAGGGUGCAAAUCCAACCAUGAAGAAGUGUAGGCGUGGGAAUGGAAUUAAGUUCACCGCUAGCUUUCUCAGAUCAGAAUUAAGUUGGCCAGGGAAACGAAGGCAACAUGUUACUCCACUCAUGGUUGUUGAAAUCAGGUGGUUCAAAUCACCAACUGCGCCAAAACAAGAAAAGGAAUCACAUAUUGAAGUGUGCUCCGUGCUGAAGUGCUGACAUAUGUAACAUGAACAUUUAACUACCAUUCCUAUUCUUGCACAUAUCAUCUCAUUAACCUGCCCUAAUCAUCCGUCCAGAUUUAAAGAGUGAUUGUUUUGGGAAUUAAUCUCAAAAUGAUAAGAGGCCUUGUGUAUCUCCAACAAUUGACCGCGAAAUAUAACGUUGCUAGUUGCUACACAAUCUCACAAUUCGUUUGGCCGGUUGAAUUUUUACUACACACAAUUAGACAGACCUGCAGGAAAUUUAGGAAGCAACUUGAAUUAUUCAAGAAUUAGGAUCUAGUAUAAAGGAAGUGUUAACAAUUCCAAUGAAUUGUACUUCAAGACGAUAGAAGCCUCAACUAUUGAGACCCCUGAUCCAGUAACUUCUUGACUAGUUUCACUAAGUCGGUUAUUCAACUUCCUUGCAGUGCUUAAUUAACUUGGCAACUUACAGCUUGGAUUUGUGAGCUUGAGUGUUCUGAAACAAAUAUCGUAGAGUGCUUCAUUGUCCAGGACCAUGCAUUCAUCGGCAUUCUCAACCAGUUGGUGAACUGAGAGUGUGGCAUUGUAGGGCUCAACAACUGUGUCAGAGACCUUUGGAGAAGGGAAGACUGAGAAUGUCAGCAUCAUUCUAUCAGGGUACUCUUCCCUGAUCUUAGAUAUCAGCAGAGUCCCCAUUCCUGAUCCGGUGCCUCCUCCAAGUGAAUGGCAUAUUUGAAAUCCUAUAUUGUUACAGAAAUAAGAACAUGUAAUUAGAAUUGAAGCCACAUUUGUACCAUGACACAUUGACUCUGCAAGUACCAAAUAACUAAAGAAACAGCAAUUUUUACAUGAAAACUUAGUCAAAGUAUUAGAAAGUCUGAAUGGACUAAGCGGGUACGUACUUGUCCACUAUACGAGAGUUUUCUGCAGAUUCUAUGUUGUGAGUGCAUAAUAAUAGCUUUUCACGAAAUUGAGAUGUUGGAAUUUUCACCUUGUAAGCAAUCACAGUUCUCUGCUUCCUUUCGAACAACAUCAAGAACAGAAUCAAUCAGCUCAGCUCCUUCAGUAUAAUGGCCCUUAGCCCAAUUGUUUCCGGCACCAUUUUGGCCGAAAACAAAGUUGUCAGGCUUGAAAAUCUUCCCAUAUGGUCCAGUCCUCAAACUGUCCAUAGUCCCAGGUUCAAGGUCCAUGAGGACAGCUCUCGGGACGUACCUGCCACCACUGGCCUCAUUGUAGUAAACAUUGACCCUCUCGAGCUGAACAUGAGAGCUGCCACUGUGGUUUCCUGUGGCAUCAAUCCCAUGUUCAUCACAAACGACUUCCCAAAACUUGCCACCAAUCUGGUUGCCGCAUUGCCCUGCUUGGAUAUGAAGAAUUUCUCUCAUUCUCUAAGCAAUUUUUUUUUUCCUCUUCUUUUUUGAAGAUAUAUAUGAAAUAUAUAGAUGGUUUGAAAAAAAAAAAAAAAUAAAGUUAGAAGGAUGAGAGAAAAGGAGGUGACAUGGAAGUGUGAAUGAGGGAAGGCUUUUUGUAGUAGGAGUAGGAUGGAAUUUGAUUGAGACAUUGAUAUUUUUCUUCCACCUUACAGUAAUGCAUAGAUCCAAUUAAUAAUUUCAUGUGGGUAUGUUUCUGCAAUUUUUUUUUGUGGAGGCAAUGUCAACUUCAACAGGAAAUAUGAGCUGGAGCAGAAUAAUACAACCAUCAUGUGGGGGUACCUUUCUCAUCCUAUAUAAGAUUAUAUUAUGGAUUGUAUCUCCACAAAAGAAAUUAUGGAGAAAAUAAAAUAAAAUCCAUCGUGAUUGACACAAUGUACCUCAAUGUAAUAAAAUUACAUAGAAAAUGAAUCAAUUAUAACGAGACAUUCUUGAUCUUAUGACGCGUUACUUGAAUCAAGAAAUUUCUAAUUCUUAUCAGAUCAAUAUUUGAUCCACCACAGGCUUCCAAGGUUUGUGAUUUCAGUUUUGCCUUUGUUAUAGAAAUUCCGCCUCUUCAUUUGGCAAUUUCGAGGUGGGAGGGAUAUGCUAUAGUAUAGUAACUAGUCUAUUAGUCGAACUUAAGGCAAUUAUUUAGUCGCUUGUCAUAUGUCAUUUCUGUUGCUUAAUCAAAUUGAUCAUUGCUUAAUGUAAGAUCUCAUACCCGACCCUACACAAUUGAGUUGGUGGUUCGUCUUAGUUUUAUUCCCAAUUUGAUGAUUCCUUUGUAAAUAUGAAUUUUGAUCAUUCAGUGGUGGAAAAGGAGCAAAAAAAAAAAAAAAAAAAGGAAGAAGAAGAAGAAGAAAAAAGGGGUAGCAACCAACAAUUAUUGAAGGUAUGAAUAUGUCUUCAUCUAUGAUGAUUGUUUCCAAUGCAGAUACAUGACUGGCAAUCUCUCAUUCCAACUCCUAUCAGCUGUAUCAUCCAAGGGAGAGUAUCCAAUGACUGUUUUAAGUCAGAAAUCAAAAGGAUUUUAUGCUUCGAUUAGAGUGUCAACUUUUGAGUGGAAUAUAUUACUAUAUUACAUUAAAGCAAAUGGAGUUAGGGCACAGUGGUGACUGGUGAGCUAAUUAAUUAAUAUUGAGAUUAGCUGUCCUUAGACAGGAUCUAAUACAACAUUAUUAUCCCACCAUAAUGUUAAGAUACUUCAACCACCAGCCAUUUACUAAUCACCUGUCGCUUCAACUUGCACUGCUGCAAGGAAUUAUCUUCAAAUAGAAAAUUCAAUCAAUGAAUUGAGAACCCACGUUAGGCAGCAAACAUUUGGUAAAUUGGCAUAUGACAAGUCCAUGGUCCACACCAACCUUACAUUUUGUUGGUAUAUAUGGAGAUGGGGGAAGCUCAAUGCACUCUUCCAUCGUCCGUAGUCACUGUUUUAGGCUUGUUUCAGAUUUUGUCCCUCAAAAUGGUAAAAAUAAAUAAUGUAUGCCUGUCGACUAUUUCUAUUUUUGGUUCCGAAGAACACUCCAAACCUUAUAAAGGAGAACGGAAAUUAGAGAAGGUCUGAGAGUCGAAUCAGAAAUCUUAACUACUGCUAGGUUGAAGGGAAACUCCAAAUCUCACGAAAAAGUGAAAAAAUAAUGAAAAAAGUUUGAAAGUCGAACUAAAAACUCUUCCAUUCACCUAAUUAAUGUUUUUACCGAAUUAGUGUCCCCAACUAUGCCGUGUCCGAAGAAAACCGCCAAUCAAUUUUUUAUUUGAACCUGAAAUUACUUUGCAAAUCUCACGUCCUGCUUUUGACCCAAGAUGGAUAUCAAAUGGGCUUGCAAUCCCAUCCACUCCCCAGUAAGUAAUUGAUGUUGGUAAAGACGGCUUGUGCAAAGCUGAAGGAAACAAUAAUGUCUGGUAUUAACAAACUACAAUUAGCCCCAUUCACAAAUGGUGGUUGACAUAGAAGGGUCCAAGCCCCCACGGGUUUAGCCACAUGGUAGCAGCGUUCCCUUGGAACCUUCAGGUCUCGGGUUCGAAACUGCGCUAUGGGGACGCCUGUGCACUUAUCGUACCUUGGUCGGGUUGGGGCGCCGGGCUCGGAUCGCAGGAGAUUAGUUGAACCCCGUAAAAAUUGACCCGGACACCCUGUGUCGACAAAAAAAAAGACAUAGAAGGGUCCAAAUUUGGGGGAACCAAAUCACAUGGCACAUUUUGGACGGGCAUAUGUAUGAGCACCCAAAAUUGACUGGAAAUGAGAUGCCAACUAGCGAACCGCCCACGCCAUUUUGAGGGCCAACAACCACAAAUCGUACCGUAAUCCGCGCAUUACACCGUUGGUAAUCAGUAGUAUUAUGUACAAUCUUUUGAUUCUUCUCCUCCUUAAGCUGGAACGGUGAGAAUCAAAUGCAUUUAUACAUAUCAGGGUUGGAUAGGUAGCCCCUUAAUUAAUUAUGCUCUGUUUGCAUAUUUAGAAAGAGAAAAUGCGCGACAAAACGACGAAAUAGCACACAGCAUGGUAGGACCCCAAAAAUCAAGCUGAAUAAUAUGCCAAAGCGCUGAUAUUAGGGCGGUGGCUCGGAUGAUCAUUGAUCAGCCAGGACAAAGAUGAGGAAAUCAGAGGCAUCAGCAAGAAAUUCGGACUUGCACAUCACAUUACUAAGCAACAAACAGUCGAAUUAUGUGGAAAAAAGUUUAUUCAGAAGAAUACUGUAACACUUCUUGCGGUGUAAUGCGUAUUUAUGAUGCAACCACAACCACUUUAUUUUUUCGGUGGCAUCUCGGUGCAAACCGGAAGGACUUAAACUAAACAUUCAUUGCUUCAACUCCAUUAUUCCAUCCUCCAAGAUGAAAGCGAUGUGCAUGUUUUGAAGAUUACAAAACAUGAUCUUGCACUAAUUUAUUUCCUAGUAGAGUACACAGGUGCAAAUUUAAGUAACUUCUCAUCUCUAAAUCUACACAAAAAUUCUAAUUAGAAUCCUUGUAGUGAGCAUCAGACAGGUAUAUAAAGUGCAGAAAGAAUAAUGGAAGCGACUUCAGUAGAGCAGCUCCUCGAAAACAGGAUCUACACUUUGCCCCCACUUCCCAUGGUACAACUCCAGGAGCUUCUCUGCAGGUGUUACACCUGCCAAGAUUUGAAGGAAAAAAAAUGUCAUGCAUGUGUGUGAUAGAUACGCGUAUUGUCGACGUACUAUAUGAUCCCUUCUCAAGUCUAAACAGUAGAAUUCUGUGAGGUGAAAUCUACAAGAAUAGCUGGAUGCAAUAUGCAUCAAUCCAGAUUAAGAGUCGUGUUUUGACAAUAGCACAAAUCAAGAACUAAUGCACAGCCAGCAGAAUUGAAUCACUUCAAUUUAGAUAAACAAGUGAGAGCGCAAACAAAAAAUCACCAUGGACUGCAAGCAAAGACAAAAUAAUUUUUUAGUAUACAUCUAUUUACCUGUUUUCACAACUUCAGCAACUUCAUUCAAAAAUCCUGUUUCCUUGAAGCCUCUCCUCUCUAAACCAUCCUGCACAUACGAAAUUACAUUUGAAUCAAGAAAAUGGGUAGAAAAAAUGGCAUGAAAAUCUGUCACCAACUUCAAUGCCUUUCAACUCACCUUAGCCAACUUUACCACGUCUUGUGCCACAUGCUUCAGCAGCCCAUCCCGGAAUGGUGUAUUCAAACCACUCUUUGGUACCUACUACAUAAUUUGGAAUCAAAAUGAUAAUUCUACCUUAAUACUAUACUGCAGGAACAGCUCAAAAACCAAUACAAUUCGAGUAAAAUCUAAACCACAUUUUCUUAUCCAUGCUCCAAUCAAUAUAAGGGGACAACCAUGAAAAGCAGGUCAAAUGACCUGAUACUUUAUUCUUUCAAAAAAUGAAUUAUGGACAUACUCAAAAAGUUAUCUUCUGGGUUCAGCAAGUAAAAAAGCUUUAUCUUUUGUAUAGUGAUAUGUCCGUAUCCUAAUUCCAAAUAUGUGGAUCAUUUAGUAGUCCAUCUUUGAUAAAUAAGAAUGCUGAAACAUCUUGCUUUAUGUCCGAGGAAUUUAGAUGUAUAGUGGAAAAAAGCAAUAUGUUAACUAAUUCAAGAGAACUGUAACAGGAAGCUCUACAGGUGCUUCAGAACCCAUGAAUUUGUAGCUUGCCAUAGUUUCGAGUUUCAACUUCCCUCCUCCAAUCAGCAGUCUUCUAAUUGCUGAGAUAUUUCCUACUUAAAGCUAGACCCUCGCAUGCUUGACAACCUUGGAAGUGGACCAAGAGCACAGGGCAAUGAAAAGGAAGCAAAUAUUAAUUUCUCCAAACCAUCAACCUUCCUCCUUAAUCAUCAGUUUUAUUCUUGCUGUCAAAUGCCUACUUAAAGCUAGAUAGUUGUCAGUUAACGGCCAUUAUUUGCUUUAAGAGCACAGGCCAAUGGUAAUGAACACAUGGAACACAUGAUGUAGUUGAUAGCUUCUGCCCAAAAAAUAAUAUUUUUCAUGGUCAAGACAAAUUUAUUACCUUAUUCCUGAGCAUUUGUCUUUCUUCUGCCGUCCAAUCAGCUGUCAUGUCCAGAACACUUUGAAGAGAAAUUUCAUCAUAUAGAAGGCCCACCUGGAAUACAGAUACUUGAUAAUCUAAUGGAACUAAUCCCAAUAUAGAAGGUUUACAACUGAAUUCUCCACAAGGAAAGCAGGCUAUCAAUUUAAGAAUGAGAAGAAUGUGGAAUUCAAGGCAAAAGUAUCACAUGUUUCUACCACUUCAAUUUCUCAGCCAAUAAUCAAAGAAGACUUUUUUUAAAAAAAAUAUUUUUUCCAGCAAGGGAGGGGUGGAAUUUAAGAAGCAGGGAGGGGGAAGGGGGAUUGGAACCCAGGACCUCUAAAUCUCGUUAGCCACUAGAUCAAGGCCUCCUCGGCUAAUCAAUGAAUAUUUGUUAUCCCAUUCCCUCACAAACCCUAAAAGAAGGGAACACAAAAGGCAAGGGCAAGAGCUUGGCAGACCAAACAAUCAUCAUCCAAAGAUUAUCUACAGCAAGUGACAAGCAGUAACCUAACUAUAUAUAACCAAUGUUACCAUUUAAGCCUGUCUCCAAAAUUUUUAGGAAAAGAAACUUAAGAAGAACAAUCACUUCUGAGAAGACAAGCCUAAGAAGAAGACAAAAACCAUUCAUUGACCGAACAAAUAAUUCUUUCAGUUCUAUCUUCAAGUAACACUCGUACUGAUACUUCCCAAUUGAGACAACAAAAUGGCAUGGAUAGCAAAUUCUAGAAAGAAGCUCUAUACCCAGAAUGCAGGCAGCGCACAUAGCCUCCUCCAAGGUCCUCCAUCAGCACCUCUCAUCUCCAAAUAUCUCUUAAGCCUCACCUAAUGAAAAUCAGGUUGAGGUCUAUUUUCAUAUAUGACCUCACUCAAAAAGCAGCAUGGACAAGAUACAGAAUAUUAUCAUCACAUCAAUCUCAGCCAAGAACACAGACCUCAGGAAAUAUUGUUGUGAGAUGAUUCUCCCAGUCAUUCAGGCUCGGAUAUUCACCAGGAAUAGAAGGAAGUUUUCCUGCCAUAAAAUCCUGCAAAUAAUUUACAUUAAAAGAUACCUUUUACAUUUACUAAACAAAUAUUGUUUGAUCUGCAAUCAGAAUUUCAAGUACAGUUAAAUACCCGGAAUGACAUUCCAGCACAGUUGACAUACUCCUUUUUCCGAUACACAAAAUACAUUGGCACAUCAAGAGCAUAUUCUACAUAUUGCUCAAACCUGUAAGAAUGCAAAUAAAGGGUAUUACUGUGGGGAUGAAUUGAUCCAUGAAAAUCUUUUUAGAAGAGAUCAACAAUUUGUUAUCCCAUCUUUCUUCAAUGUUCGAUGCAAAUCAAGAACAUCUUUCGAACAAAAUAGGUGGGAGCAGAAUGAAUGAACCUUUAGUUGGAAUGUGUGGUCACCUGCCAAUCUAAUAAAAGCUAAAGGAGAAUUCUACAUUUUCAAAUGUUAAUUUUUCUUUUAAUUAUUCUUUUUAGAGUUCUCUGUUUCUAUGCUGUCUUCCAAGUAAUAUGUGCUCUUAAAUGGUUAACAAUUUGUGAAAAAUCAUAAGAGUAAAAAAUUGAGGCAAUGCAUAAUCAUGUAUCAGCCCCCUACUAGUUGAUUUGUUUUCCAAAUCACCAUGCAACAUUUUAAGUAGAGAGACAUAAGACUGUAUUUUUUUCAUCCAAUUAUUUCAGAAAACUUGGAGAACCUACCCAAAAGAGUCAUCGAAGACAAAGGGAAGCAUGCCUGCACGAUUAUUAUCUGUAUCUGUCCAAAUUUGGCUGGUCAAGAAAGAAUUUUGUGAGAUCCUAGUACAGAGUUGCAAUUUCACCAAAACAACGAAAUAUAGAUCAUUCUAUCAGUACCUUCGCAUGCUAAGAUAUCCAUUUGGUUUUCCUUCAGUGAACGGUGAAUUUGCAAAUAAAGCUGUGGCAAUCUGUUUCACUGCCCUGUUAGAUCUCAGAAAACAACAUAUGCUUUUUCAAUAGAUAUGAAGAAGAAUUCUCACAGGCUGCAGUGCAAGACCAGCUCGGAAUUUUCUUAUCAUGUCAGCUUCAGAACUGAAGUCCAGAUUCACCUGCCAAAAGCGGGACAAAUAUAACUUCCGCUGCACAAUUAUGACUCUUCACAGACCAGAACCCAUGAGAAAUGGGAAGAGAGAGAUAAUCCGUAGCAAUUAUUAUCCAUCUACAACAUACAGAAUUAGUACUGUGAAAAAAUAAAAUCAAAUAUUCUCACCUGAACAGUACACGUUCUGAACAUCAUGUCAAGCCCCAGUGAGCCAACUUUAGGCAUGUAAUUUCUCAUAAUUUCAUAUCUCCCCUGAGCCAGAAUACUAGGUAAGCAUACCAACAGCAAACUAAAGCUUAUGGAGCAAACUAGUAACAGUAACAGUAUAAUAAUGUACUAAAUACAAGACUAAAGAUGUCACAGACUAAAUGAAAAUUGGAUUUAUUUCACUAUUACCUUCGGCAUUAUAGGUAUGUCCUUUAAUCCCCAUUUGGGUUGGAAACCAAUUCCUAGAAAUCCAAUGCCCAUCUCCUCUGCAACAGCUUUGACCUGUGCAGUUCAUUUCAAAACAAAAAUCAAAUUAUAAACAAUUUGUAGACUUUUUUGUUCCAUGUAUUUUGAGAGAAAAACAGAGAGGUUCAAUAAGUAAAUUGCCUGGACAUUCAAAGUAACGCCUACCAGAAGAAUUUCCACACAAAAGAAUGAAAAAUGCUAUGGAAGAAAAUUUCCUUUGCCAUAUGAAAAAUAGAAAGUUUUGUUGCAGAAACAGUGUAUUUCGAUAGGAUAUUACUAGGAAAAUUUUUUGGAAUAACACUAUAGCACUUUUUUGUCAUGUGAUAUAUGUGAAAAUAAAUAGGUUCUUGGAAGAUAAAAAAGUAAUUGGAAAAUGUCUUUAUGAUGCAAUCACAAUUUAUUUUUGCAAAUAACAACCUAUCCAAACACACCCAUAUUUAGAAGGGCAGUAGAGGAGCUCAAGUAAACCAGUGAAACUAUAAAGUUAGUGACCAAGGUCUACAAUACGGUAAACAUUUUACCUGGAAGAAAAUGAAGAGAGUCUCUAGUACUAAAAGUUAUGUGUAAAAAUGCGUCAUGAUACUUUUAAUUCCACGUAAAGAUAUAUACAUACUUGAAAAGAACAGAGGCACAAAUAAUACAUCAUCAGCCACCAUGCAUAUAUGUGCAACAGAGGGUUAUGCACAUUUAAACUAUUUAAUAACUAAAAUUCUAGUCUAUCAGAACUCAGAUUCUUCGUUUCAAAAAGAAAGUAGGACAAUCUUUCAACAGGAGGGCGGUGGAUUCCAUAUUUAAUUUAAUAUGUGUAACAAUUUUUUUGGACAAACCUGGUAAAGAUGUGAAUUAACCUCUGCACAAGUUUGAUGCAGAGUUUCAAGUGGUGCACCACUUAACUCAAAUUGGCCACCAGGCUCCAGUGAUAUGCUUUGCUUUCCCUGACCAGAUACAGAGUAAAAGCUUCUCACAACUAUGAUAAAAGGGAUAAAUCUCAAACUUUGUUAUCAGAACCCAUCAAGAUGAACAAGGAGAUAAAAUCUUAAGGAUAUUUGAAGUAACUGACUAGCAUUGAAAGUAAUUAAUACAUGAUGAACACCAGGAAAGAAUAAUAUACCUGUUUCAGACCAAUAAUGUUCUCGCCCUCCAUUAUUUUGUCCCAGUCAAAUCUCUCAGAAAUACUAUUAAGCAACUCCGCAAUUUGUUCAUAUUUCAUUGGUCGGAGAGUCCCAAACUCAAAACCAAACUUUUCAUGUUCAGUGCCGAUUCUGUCAAGUCCAAGGAGUUACAAGAAGGUUAUCAAAUCUACCAACCCCUUGAGUUGAUUUAACCCCAUAGAAACACACAUACACACGCAUAAAAAAACUUAAAAUAAGUCAUGUAAUUAAUAAUUCAAUUGUUUCAGUUUGAUAGGAGUUCCAAGUGACUACUCACAUCAUGCCUAAAAGCAGUUCUAUUAAAUUCCACAUAACAAACAAGGAUGGGGCAUUGUUUAGGCAAAAAAGGGUGCAACUGAAAAUCGAAGUACCAAUAAAAGCUAGAAGUUGAACCUCCAUUUCUCCUUAGGCUUGCAUCCGGAAGCCAGGUACCCUACAAGAUCUUCCUUUGUCAGUGGCUCUGCAGCAACAACAGCAUCCUCUGUAGGAGGGCUUGCAGCAACAAUCACCUGGUGUUUCCUUUUACUCUCUCCAGGACCAUAACUCCUUCGCUGCUUCGACAAAUUUGACGAAGAGAAACGGAAACCAAAACAAACAUCCUUAACUUUAGACCCCUCCAUGCUGCCGGUUAGGCUAUAAACCACACUGUGUCCAGCUUUACAUCUUACGAUCUCAGGCUGAACGCAGUAUGAUGGACCAGCCUGGGACAUUAGUGCCAUUUUUACACCUGAAAAGUCAGAAAUGCCAAGUUUUACUAACAGCUUCUCAUGCCCAAACCAGCAGUCAGAAUUUAUAGAUCUUAGCAUCAAUAAUUGAACAGCAUAACACUAAAUUCAAAUUAUAUUCUGUGUGAUAUACAAGAGGAGAAAGUUUUCUUAUUUGACCAGUUAAAACUAUUUCACAAAGCCAGCAGGCAAGAUAAGCUAAAAACAGAAAAGAAAAUGUACACCAAUGACAAGUUCAAACAUAAGUUCAUACACAAAAGAGCUAAAGAUUUGAAUGCAAAACCUAUUUCAACGAAAAUCGGCUCAUUAAUGCAUCUUUUCUCUUGUUAUGUUAAUGGCCUAGUCCAGAAUGAGAAUUUCAGUGCCGAUCUAGACUGCACAGAAUCUUUUCUACUAUAAGAAAAGGCAAUUUAUAUUUUUCUAGUGGGAAAAGAUUUUAAAAUGCCUAUAAGCAGAAACAUCAUAGUUUAAUACGUACAUAUCUUAAACCAUUAAUAUCUGCUUGUAAGCUCUCAUGCAUGUCAAAACUUCACAAUGCAAAAGAAAUAAAACUCCAGAAGCCGAGUAAGAUUCUUAAAGUCAAAACACAUUUAAAAAAAAAAAAACAAUAAAACCAGCAAUACUAGAAACCUGUUGGCUGUUGCUAUCCAAGUAUAAGUCAAAAUACUUCAACACAGUUUAAGCAACUUUGCACGACAAAGUCGACUCAUCAAAAGCAAACAAUAUAUUUUAAAAAACCAAUUUAGCCAAGGAAAACAACAGAUAACUGCCAAACUAACAAAGAUUGGUUCUUGCAAUCUCAUAUAAAAAAGAGCUUUAAGUGAUUCAAAUUAUACAACCAUCAGGAACUCAAAAAUAACACUCCAGAACCCAUUCGCAUAAAAUAAAUAAAACAAGAAAAACAAACAAUUAGAGCUCUAAAAAUUCAUUCUUUGACAUAUACGAGACUAAAGGAAAUGCUCCACAUUAGCAGAAUUCUGCCCUGGGAAUCAUAGUCAUAAACAUGCAGACACCAAAAAUCUAAAAUAAUAGCAUAACCAGAUAAAAUCCCCCCAUAAACACAAAAGGGUUUUGCACAGCAAGAAUAAAAAAAAAAAUUGAUUCUUGACAUGGUACAAGCCAAUGGCAUGGCCCCAGAAAGGAUGACAAAUGUAAGGAGAGAUGAGAUAUACCUGAGCCCUUAAAUUCUUGGGACAAAAUAGAAAAUUUCCGGAUUCGGGGAAGAUAAGUGAGAUUUGAGUGAGGGAGGGAACAGAGGCGCUUGGAAAUGGCAAAGGGAGAAAGAGAUGAGCUGAAAGAAGGGUGGUGACCGGGGUGACGUGCUUGGGAUACAAAUGGUACAAUUUGGGUCUGUUGCUUUAUUCAGAGUGUCCCUAAUAAAGAAAGGUUCAGGGUGCGUGCACCAGGCCACUUGGCUUGGAGAGUGGCACGGGGAACUAAAUACUCCGGCACCGAUCCAUAUAUUUUUCAAUCUGGUCCCCAUAGCUUCUUCGAUGUUGACACGUCAUCUCAUCGUAAAGAUCUUAACAGCGACCCCCAAGUAUAACCAUGGUAACACUGCGGAAGAGUAAUCGUUUGACUAAGUGAAUCAUGGUCACCUCUCAUCUCCCACCUCUGAAGACUCCCAAUAAUACAGCCGCCGGCGGCAGUGGUAUGACAUCAAAAGUUCGUGCCGCCUCACACAUACAUACUAACUGCGGUGAUUUGGAAUUGGAAAAUUUAUUUAAUGGAAUCAUUAUUGUCUGCUCUUACAUGCUUGCAUACGUAAUUUUUUUCUUUCUUGGUCAAAAUAAACUUGGCCACUUAAUCUCUAUAAUCAUCACAUUGCACGUUAGAAAGCAAAUAAUUAAUCCCCUUAUUAAAACCAAGAAAAGAAACACGGAUGAUGGCUCUUACGAGUGUGCAAACAAGCCGAGUCGAGCUUUGGGUUUAUCGAACCGAAUCUCCAGUUAAUUUCAUGAAGCUCAACGAGCUCAAAAUGUCAAGUUCGAAUUCGAACUCGACUCAAAUUUUAUUUUUUAAAAUGAAUAAAAUAAUAAUUUUUUACAAAUAAUAAAAUAUUAGGAAUAUAUGUAAUUUUACUAUUAAAAUAAUAUAUAUAUAAUCAAGAUCGCAUGUGGCUCGCGAGCCAACGAACUUAAUAUUUUUUAACUCGAGUUCGAUAUUGACCGAGCUCGAGUCGAGCUCGUAUUCGAGCCGCUCGCAAGCUGAUUCGUGAGCAGCUCUAGCUAUUACUAUUAUAAUAUUUCAUGGUAUCAGUCAUUAGUACUAUGAUCAAAUUAAUCAAGCUUUCAGGAUAAAAUGUUUGUGACAAAGACAAUAAUGGUUUUGAUGUAGUGACAUAUAGGCGAAGAGAAGUAAACGAAUUGUUCAUUGACGUGUGGUAAUAUGAGGGAUUAAUCCACUUGAAUUGCAGGAGGGCCCGAGGAUAAUGGAAAGGCAUCAGGAAAUUCUGCUCCAAUACAAGAAAUAAUUCAUGGUUAUUGGCAUUGGCAGCACCUUUUGUCAAGAAACAUAUGCUCGUUCACUUUCAGGAAUUUUAUUUUUUUUUCUUUCUUUUGGGUCUAAAGGGUAGGGAAACUCCAAACUAGGGUUGCAAAUAAAUCGGAUCGGUCGCAAGUAACUCGAGUCCGAAAUCGAUUAUAUAUAUAUAUAUAUAUAUAUUAUUUUACUAGUAAAAUUACAUAUAUAUUUUUAAUAUGUUAUUAUUUAUUAAAAAAAAUUUAUUUAUUAUUUUUUUUAAACCCAAACUCGAGUUUGACAUUUUGAACUCGUCGAGUUCGAAUUGAAAUUCGACAUUUGUUAAAUUAUGUUGAGUUUUGACUCGAUUAGAAUAAAACUCGAUUCGAUUCGAGUCAUUUGCAUCCUUACUCCAAACUUUAUACUAAGAAGGAAGAGGGAGGGAAAAGAGAUACUUUGAGAAUAGAAUCAAGAAUCUUAUAAUUGCAUAACUAAUGUACCUACCUUAAAGUGGAUCUCGCCAUUACCUAAUUAAUAUCCCUACCUAUCAAGUUGGGUGUUGAGAAAGCUUGGCAUCCAAUUCAUCCAGCUUGGUACAACGUUCCAGUAAAGCAAUGCAGUCAAAAAUGUCUACGUCUUUGUGUGCGUGGGUGACAAAGACGAGUUAUGGAAUCCAAUCCAAGAGACUGUGGAAGUGGAAACUGAGAAAGCAUAUUGGAUGAAUGCUGCGGAAUGGAACCACAAGCAAGCACAACAAUUUCCUGACUUUCUAUUCAGCGUUGUUACUUCCCUUGGAAGCCAAAACCAGUGCCAUGGAAGUGUUUUAAUACCCCAAUUAUCCCAAAUAAUAUUUCGCUUGCAUCAUAGACACAUUUUUCAACCCACCUUUUUAUAUUUCCAACCACCUUUUUAUCUCACAUACAUCAUAUCACAAAAAGUGCUACAGUAAUUAUUCCAAAUAAUAUUUCAAAUAAUACACUAUCCAAACAAACCAUAAUGGUUGAAAUCCCAACCUUAUUACUAGUCUUUCUAUUGCCGUAAGCCCUUGGAAGUAAAGAUGCGUCGAGGAUUUAAACUCAAAAUCUCUAAUUAUUGAAAUCCCAACCUUAUCCGCUGUAUCACUUGAAAACAUAUUAAAUUUUAACAUAUAUCACAUCAAAAAAGUAUUGCAGCAAUUUUUUUCCAAAAAAAAAAUUAUCUCAAACAAUCUACUAUCUCCUUUUUUAAUUUUGUUCUUCUUACUAAUUAGUUUUUUUUUUAAUGUUUUCAGUGAGAGGUUAUAAGGUGAAAACCGUUAUUUUUUCUAGUGUAGUUUUGGCAUUGUAAGAAAUCACGCUUAGUACCUGCUACAUUAAUAUUAUUGACCUAUUUCGUUUCCAGGUUACAGAAAAUACAUACCUAUAUAUACUUUUGGGUAGAGAAAAAUAUAAAUAUAUCUCCUAAUACAACUUUGUUUUUCUAAUAGUUGGAUUUUUUCUACCGUUAAUGCUUGACAAAUACGCCUUGUUUUGAACAUUUACUAUACUUGUAUGUUCUCAAAAACUAGCUUAAUCAAUGUUACAAUAGCUAGAUAGACUUCAUGAUUCAACUUUUAAACCUUCACAUUUUCUCUUUUCAUUGUAAAUAUACCAGGUUUGUUUUGUUAGUGGAUUAUUAGCAAAAUAUAAUUAUUUACUCGUAUUAUUGACACAUUUUUUAAUUAUUCUUUUAUAUCACAUAUACCCCCGUUGAAAAAAUAAUACGGUAUUUUUUUUUCACAAAAAAUUAUCCCAAGAAUCAUGUAUAGUUCGAAAAUAUGAGCUGCAAAUAGAAUUGUUCCUUCAAUUUCUUUCGGGUGCUCAAAAAAAGGGGCUGGACAAAUGAUAAAUCAGUCUGGACCUAAAACCAAAAGUAAACCAAUCCGAGCCCUGAAUUGUGUUGGAGAAAUUACUCUUCCGCCCACAUAUCCGGGCUUUUUGUGCCAAGUAGGCAAGCUGGGGAGUGGCUUAAGCCUUGCCUUAUGAUGGACUGUCAUCGGGCUCCUCCAAUGGGACAACAACCCAACCCAUGCCCCACAAUAGAAACUUUUGGGCAAAGAGAAAUCGUGAAGCAAGACACAGGUUUAGGUGAUGAUAUGAAACCAAAACCACCCAAAUCCCUCCAUCCAAACACACCCUAAGUGGACUGCCCACUCCCUCGCGAGGCUAGGGACAAACCAUAAAUAAAGCUCCCAAUCAGAUUCGUUAAGCACUUGGAGGUUGAGUCCGACUCUAAACUCUAAAGUAGGGGCGCAUUAAGUUCAUGAUGCUGCCACGGAUCAUAUAAUUCCUGACAGGUGCAGUCUCUUAUGCACGCAUUCUUCAAGUUACAUGGAUUCCAAGGAUUGGAGGAGGGGCAGCAACGUUGUAAGAAUUGGAAGCAACCUUUCCUGAAGGUUCAUGGUCAAGAUUUGGUCGAAAAAACAUGUAAAGUUCAAAUUACAUCUUGCAAAUCAUUUUUUCCACAUUCUAUAGUUACACGUUGUUGAAAGUGAAUCAUACCGCAUGCAUAUAAAGUUAGUUACACGUUGUUGAAAGUGAAUCAUACCGCAUGCAUAUAAAGUUACGUACGAUUUUCUGACAAACUAUUCCGGCCCCUUGUCCCCAAGAAUUGUAUUCCAAGGACUCUUUGUCACAUAACGGUUAUGCCAGAGGUAUCUUCCUCCAGUUUGCUCUUGGACACAGCAUCCAACAUUUCACUCCCCACAGUUCUAUUUCUAUAAUCUAUAUAUAAUCUUUUUUCCGCUUUGAAAGGACACAAUUUUGGCCAUUUUAAAGACUAAACAGUCCAUUUGCGUUCUUUGAGUCCCAAAAAUGUAAUGUAAAUGGAAUCUCAUUGUGGUUGGAAAAAUACCACACUCACUCAAUCCCAAUUAUGGUAUUUUGAAAUUUCACAUUCAUCAUCGCGUCAUAGUACAAUCUCAUGCGUUACAAAUUUAGAUCACGAGGUAUUCUGUUCCGACCAUAGUUCGAAGGUAGAACACAAUGACACAGAUGAAAUGAAAAAAGUCCAUAACAGAACUCUACGAUAUUCAUAAGAGUUUAAUGGCAGGCUUGAAAUCAACAUGUCUCGCAACCCAAGUAUCCUAAUCUUGUAUGAAUGAAGAAACUUUCUGGUGUCUCACGCCAGUACGAGAAAUGGAGGACAGGCAUCGUAAUGUCAAAGCAACAAGCAAUCUACAAAAGCGGCUAACUAGAAUGUGCUUCAAAAGGCGCCGCAUACCUUCUCGAAACUGCAGGUUUUGCGGAUUUUAAUGAUCCACAAGGUUGUUGGCAAAAACAUAGCACUCGAAAUUUGUAGACAACUCACAAAUGCAACUUGCUAGAUGGAAAAAAUAGGAACUAAGAACCAAAGUGAUGCCAAAGAGAUUACGCAUUAAGCAGCAGCUAGGCACAUUCAUCAGACAAGCAGACUAUGAUGCGUAAAGAUAACAUAACCCUCCAACAAUAAGUCCAUUUCCAUAGCUAGACGUGUCCUCAAGAAACAUCCAAUUCCUUCAUUAUUAACUUUUCUAACUGUAUAAGAGUAGCAUCAACAAUAACAGUAAUUAUAAUAAUAAAAGAGACACUGAAGCAAGAUAUUGAAUCUUAAACAUCCAUAUAAUGGAGUUCCGAAAUAUAGUGGAAUCAAUACAUACAUGAGAUAUUCAAUGCUAGUCCAAUGUGGACCACAUUUUCCAUUCCUUUGACUUCUAUUUUGCUUUCCUUUUUAUCUCCUAGUUAUACACAAUUUAUAAAUUAGAUUAAGCACAACAUACUGUACAAUGGGAAGAUGUCACCAGAAACCAUCAUCAACAUCAACGGUUGGGUGGGGAUCAUCUUCUUCCUCUAGUUCCAUCUCUAACUCUGGCUCAAACUCAGCUGACUCGAUGUCUGCAAGGUUUUUCAAAUCAACCACAGAGAGCUCAUCAAGGCGUUUAACAACCAAGUCAGCAGCUCCAAGCUCAUACAUUGGAUGUUUGCUUGCAACAGCUACACAUUUCAUCCGAGCAUCAUGUGCAGCCUCCACAGUUUGAUUCGAGUUCCCAAACACAAUACACCGCUCGGGUAUGUAUUGUAAAAGCUGUGCUGCAUACACAAACAUCUCUGGAUCUGGUUUCCCCCGAUAGACAUCCUCUGCUGCAACAACAACAUUAAAGACCUCUUCAAUCCCAACAGCACCAAUUGCAGUCUCCAAAUUUUUUCUAGGUCGGGUGGACACCAAAGCAAUUGGGAUUUUGUAAUGCAUCAAGAUAUUGACAAAUUCCUGAGAACCAGGUCGGAAACUGUAGAUCCCACCCUGCAAGGCUUGAUAAAUUUCCUCCUUCCGACCAGCCAUUCUUUUCAACUGAACCGGAUCUCUUGACCAGCAAAGAACCUCUGAUAUUGCUUGCUCAUUCUUCAUUCCUUCGAUCCUUCGAAGGACGAAAGCUGGAGGAGGUGAUUUUCCUUCUUCCUCGGAAAGAGCCAACCAAGCUUGCUUCUCAAGAUCCGGAUUAUCUUCAAUGAGCACACCAUCCCACUCGAAUAUAGCAGCUAGCCAUCCACAUCCCAUCCUUUCUUGUCGAAGCAAUGGAUUUUGAAGGCCAGGAUUAUCUGCCUUAUUAGGUGGUGGCCAUAAUCCCGGCAUUCUAUCAACACCAGUAUCAAUCUGGUAUCUAAAAUCCUGAUAAGAUUGCCCCUCUUCUCUGUAUGCGUAUGCCUCUUUAGUCAAUUCCAUCGCCUGACACUUAAUUAGCUGCCGAUGGGCUUUUAAUCUCGGCAGAGAUGAUGAAGAAACAAGUUUUCUAAAACGAAAUUCCAUUGGAGGAAACUUGAUGAUAUCGAUUGCCCUCCGUUUGCCUGAAACAUCCUUGGAACAAUAGCCUCCAUACAGCGGAAGAUUUCCCAAAAGGGAUGUGGUAGCAAAGGAUUCCACCAUUUUUAACGACAGAAGAUGAAAACCACAGCCAAAUCUGACCUAUAUAUCAAACUUUACACUCUUUCCCCCUAAAUUGGAAUCCUUUUUCAAGUUCUUGCCCAGUUAAAUGCAACAGAACCCUCACAAACCAACCAAACUGACCUUAAUUUCAAUAUAUUUAAGUAUCCAGAAAAAAGUAAAGCUUUUUUAAAUCGAACUAAUCCUUCCUUUGAACACAAAAACCAAUAUCAAGACUAAUAAUAUACGACUCUAGCUUUGGAUUCCAGAAACCCAAGUGCUACUUUUUCUCAACAGGCUCCCAAUUCACACAACAAUAUAUUCUUACAGACUAUAUUUAAUUACAAAGAACCUUCUUUUGAGAGAACUCACAGAUUAUUCCCCAAGACCAACCAAAAAGAGAGGCAAAGAAAGAAUAACCAAACAGCACAAAUAUCCCAACUUUAUUUAAUAGCCAUUAAAGUACUUCCAUUAUCGGAUAAUCCAAACAAAAAACCGUGCAAAAUCCACUGGCCCAAAUCAACAAUUAUUGCAUUAAACAACUUAAAAAAACACGACUCGAUAAUUAACUAAAGCCCAGAAGGCAUGAGCUUGUGAUAACCAAAAAAGGAAGGAUUUUUAUUAAUAUAGUUAUACGCAGUAAAAACCCAACAAAAUUCAGAUAAAUUAAGGGUAAGAACUUGGACCAAAUUCAAUAAAAAUCUGAACUUUAUUGGAUUUAAAUCUAGAGUCUUGAAGAGAGUACUUAAAUAUGUUGUACAGUGGUAUUUAUAUACAGGGAGAAAAAGGCAGGAAGGAACCUGAAUGAGUGAAAAAGGAUGCCUGGAUUGAAGAGAAAGAUUGGAUUUUGAUUUAUUUGGAAGAGGUGAAUUAUUUAUGUGUGGUUUAUAGGCAAAGAUGGGGGAAGCGGGUACUUGUUUCAGGAGUCGAAUUUGGUCUUGGAAACCGUAUGGUGGUGGCCGGCGGAGGCUAAUUGUGUCCAGAAGUACACGCGGGCAAUGUAUGAAUCUUUCAGGAAAUUUCUUUUUCUUUAUUUUGUAGGUAAUUGAUACGUUUUGUUCCCGAAAGAGAAAGGUCAGCUUUAUUCAAGGAAAAGAUAUAACUAAUCAGGGAAAUUCCCCUGCUAAUUAUCUAAAUAUAGAAAGUAAACCGGAGAUGACCAGUAUAUUUAAUCUUUUUCUCAAAAAAAAUAAAGAAAAAGAAAUUUCUAUAUCAAGUUUGCUUCGGUGUUGACACAAAUUUAAGUAUCCAUAUUAAACGCAAUUAUGAUUUAACUAUUCUUUCAGAAUUAUUGGCAUAGAAGUCUACAAGCUAUAGAAGUCUACAAGCUAUUUUGAAAAUUUUCUUCUUAUUAUUUUUUUUAGGAUUUUCUCUUCCUUUACUGUUAAACCAUUAAUGCUUUUUUUUGCAAAAUAUGUCUGUAUAUUGUUAGCAUGAGAAGGAUGAAAUUUAAAAAAUAAAAAGGAAAAAUGAGAAUUUGAACCCAAUACCUCUUAAUUCUGGAAAAGUCGUUAUGUGUCUGUCGUAGUUCUAUAAUUAUACACACAAACUUUCAUCAAGAUCGCAACACUUAGAAUAGAACCAAGCAUUAUUGAUACAUGUUACACGCAUAUUCUCCAAUUUCUAUGUGGGUGGAUAACAAUCCAAAUUGUAUCUUAGGGUAAAAAGAGAAAGACAUUCAAUUUGUGUCUUAUCUAAUUUGUUAAGACCAGUGUUAUGGUAUCAUUAACUCGUGUGACGUGCAUCUUUAAUAUCUACAAGAAAAAUACCUUCUUGUGCAUAAAAUUGUAUCCUGAGAUUUGUUCAGACUUCAAAAUUCAUAAUUAAGUUAGGUACGCUAGUAAAGAAUUCAUUUUGAUUGAAGAGAUAUCGUUUCAUCUAAUAAAUCUGGACGAAUGACAUAUAUGUAUAGAUCUGCAAUCAAUAGAUACAACAGACUUAAGAAAAGAAAUUUCAUUAAACGAGGCAAUGGACAUUAUCCACCAAAAUCAGAAACUUAGCAAUCCAAGUGAAAUAGAGGUCUUGGAACAAAAUGGUGCCUCCAAUUAAAGUAGCUUAAUUGCGUUGCUACAUCCCAAUCAUCAGCUACAAGAAGGGAUUAAUCUAAUUAAGGUGGAAUGUAUUAUACAGAUUGAGUCCUUUUCAAGGAACAUUUUUUUUUUUAUUAAUCCAGUGAACUGUGGAUAAGAACUUACAGGAGGGGUCAACGCUCUUCUCCAAUCAAGUCCGCAAUCUAUUUUCUUUUUGUUGUUAAGCCUCGGGAAAUGUAUAACUUAUUUAAUCCCUACGCUUCGCUUGUUUAUUUGGUAAUCAGUUGUUUCUUUGCCUCUUGGAUACCAAAAUUAUUCCAAAUAAUAUUUCGCUUGCAUCACAGACACAUUUCCCAACCUACAUUUUUAUAUUCCCAAUCAACUUUUUAUCUCACAUACAUCAUAUCACAAAAAAGUGUUACAGUAAUUAUUCCAAAUAAUAUUUCAAAUAAUACACUGUCCAAACAAACACACUGGCUGACAUAUAGGAUCAAAGAGCUGAAAUUAAAAAAAAAAAAAAAAAGAGAGUCUAAUCUUCUUUUAUUUCUACUAUGACUCCUUUUUCUUUUGGUAUGUAUUUCUUUCUAAAUAGAUAAUUUCUUAAGCAUUUGCUAAUCAUUUAGGAACCAAUCAAAUUAAUGAUCACAUAGUUAGUUGUUAUUACUUUCAUUUUCAUGUCUGACCAUCGAGAUCCUCCAAACAAAUGGGUCCCUUAACGCAUACUUGCACGGCAAUUUCGCUCAGAAAUUGUGUUGAAAUCGGAAUUCAUCACACGAUAAAUAUGCCAAAAUAAUGGAAAUUAGUAUCCGCAGGUGGUUAAAAACAAAAAAGGGGUCAGAAUAAAGAUGCGUACACCUUCAAAAUACCGCACGAAAUUAACACGAAGAAAUCCUGAAUUUUAUGCUAAAGCAGAGCCAAAGCAGCCAAAAGCAAAAUCAAAAAAAUGCAGAGGAAAAGCUGUGGUCCAUGAUUGGUUAGAUGAGCCCACAAAGCCACCACAGAAUCGUGUAGACCAUUCCAUUUCACAUUUGUCUACCGACACGUUUCAUAUACAUGUUUGUUUCCGGGGGCAUAACAUUAAUUAAAAGAUAGAAAAAAAACUACUCGAUACUAAUUUAACAAGAUCUCGUUUGGCAUUGGUUCGACUUCGCCAAUUAGUCACGUUAAAUUUAAAUAAUAUUUUAUAAUUGAUGACUUUUAAAUUCGAUAAAAAAAUUUGUUUCGGCAAAUAAUUAAGUCAAAUUUAGAUAAAAGUUUAGACUCGUUAAAAUAAUCAAACAAAAUUGAAUACUGAAGUGUUCGACUUUAACUUAACGAAGCUUGUUUGCACGCCUACCAGUAGAUGAGAUUCAUUGAUUGAAUCUAAAGAAAAGGUUUGAUACGAGUGCAAAAGCGUAGCGUAGAAGGCAUUGAAUAAUUGAUGAACUGAAAUAAGCCGGAUAUCUUUCCUUGUUCAGUUUCGAGAGCUUACACAUUAUUAAUAGAUACACGCUUAGAAAGAGCUUAGAACUUGUUUGGACAAUAAGUUUUUGUUCCUUCAAAAAAAAAAAAAAAGCUUUUGUUAAAAAAAAAUACUGUAAUGUAUAUGAGGUAAAAAAAAGUUAUUAGAAAAUAUGUCCAGAGAUUUUUUUCUUUUUUGCGAAAAUUCAGAAUUCAAACAAAGGCAUUUCAAAACUGGUUCUUGUAGCGUAAGAUUUGCUAUGCUUGGAUAUUAAUUUUUUCUAAAAUAAUAUUUCGCUUGCAUUAUACACAUAAUUUUCAAUCUUUUUUUUUAUAUUUUCAACUACCUUUUUAUCUCAUAUACAUCACAUCACAAAAAAGUGACACAGUAAUUAUUUGGAAUAAUACCCUAUGGCCGCGAUAAUACUCUAUCACACCUUUUUUCAUCUUUACAACUUCCAUUACGAGUUUGUCAAGCAUAAUAGAAAGAUAUUCAAUGCAUCUGCCGUAUUCCAUUUUAUAGCACAACAAGAAGUCAAUCUGUGGAUAAAAUCCUUCUAAAGCUUCAGCCAAACAUAAUUUUACAACCUUGACGUCACUGUUAAAGUUACAGAUAUUUAAAUUUUUUUCCCCAUUGAGAGGGUGUUUUGAAUAAGAGAUUUCUAGCGACAAAACGACAGAGAAUCCCAGAAAAAUGGUUUUUGUACAGUAAAAACCCAAAAUACAAAAAUUUAACGGUCUGCUUGGUGCCACAUAAUUUGAAGGAACGUGUCAAAGUUACGGCUGUUCAUGCUUGAUAUACAAGAGAAAUAUCAAGCUCAUCUUAUGGAUUUAAUACAAGAGAAAAAAUAAUAAAAGGUACUGAUCUCAUUCCUCAUUCUUCAAUGACUUGCCAUCUUUUUCAGCCAUCAAUCAUCCCUUGGAUGAAUUUUCCUCAUAUUGCGGCCAGGUAAGGAAGAAUGUAGAAUUUCAGCUUGGCCGAUGCAAGACGCUAUUUUUGGUCCCCGAAAGGCACUAAUUUUCUCACCUAUUUGAUCCUUUUAUGAAAAGGCUGCGUAAGCGCUAUCCAAAUGCUGUAACAGAUACCUUUUCUUAGUGAAAAUAGCAGAAAAGAUUCCUUCAAGAAAAAAAAAAAGAAGGCACAAAAGAUGGGGAAAGAAACAACUCGUUCCAGCGUAGCUUGUCCUUGGCAUAAUCCUGAUCUUUUCUUUUUAUCUCUCAACUACUAGAAUCAAUAUAUUUGAACCCUAAACUUAGUAGCGAAGGAAACUCUAAAAAUUCUGUUCUGACCACUGAAUCACUGAACCAGCUCCAGUGAUACUAAUUAUCCUAUCUCAACUGCUAAGAAGAUUUAUGAAAGAAUCAAAAUUUGACUCCCAAAUUGUACAUAAGGCCUGAGAUUUGGGUGGUCAAGACUUACACUGUGAGAGACCAUAUCAUCUACAGUAAAAUUUUGGUGGAGGAAAGACCAAGUUUGAAUUUAUUACGGGGUAGAACUAAAAAUUAAACAGAUUUUAAGGCAUUCAACUCUGAUUUUCAAGCUCUUGGGGGGCUUGCCAUCGAGCCAUGGCAAAGUUGGAAACAAGAUCAGAAAUAAAAACCAGUAAGAUAACACGCUGAAGAGCUACGUGUAACAUGAGUUUUGCUGUGCAUGUGGAUGAGUCUCAGUCGCAAAUCUGAGUAUCCUAACACGUGUACAUCUCUAAUCACAUAUAUAUGACAAGAUUUUAGACACGUUAACGCUUUACAGGUAGAGGCAAAUUGAGAGAAAGAGAGGCAAAAAUGGAGUCAACUAAGGAGAGAAGAGAGCAGGUGGAGAAGGAGCAAAGGGAACAAAAGGGAGGUGUUGAUCCAAUAGCCAAGGCUAGGGAGGUACUUCAAGAAGCUGUCAUCAGCAAAGAUGAUGGAAAGGCUCAGGGCGAUAAUAAUGACGAGAAGGAAGCAGCAAAAGACCCUGAUGACAUUUUGGUUUUUGCUAGAGCUGUUCACCACACUGAUUCCUCGCUUGAUUGAUAUAUAGCUAUCACAAGUAUCUAUGAAGUGUAAAUGAGACGAAGAGGGUUUUAGAGGUGACUGGCCAGUCUAAGUUACUGUACAAUUUUCAGUUUGUUUCAAUAUGUGAGUUGGAAAUCACAAGUUUAAAUUGUUCUUCUCAUUCUUGAUUCUUAAUUCUUUACGGAAAGGAGAGUAGCAAAAGCAUGACAGGAUUGAUUAUGCACAACAUAAUUUUGGGUCGGAAGGAUACUGCAGAUGUUAAAUAUUCACUCCAGAUUUGCGAGUUGCAACCAUAUAUCACCUCAGAGAUCUAAGCCAAGAAAAGAUUGUUCCAUAUGAAAAAUCGAAAAAGAGUCUUAAUUUCUCCAAAUUUCUCCUAAAUUUACCAUAAAAUUCACUAUAAUUCUAUGCUAACAUGAAAAGUUUUUGUUAUUUGUGAAAAUGGUUGUUCUCAGGUCCACUAUUGGAGAAUUAGAAUUGAGAGAAAGGUGGAAGGGUGUUUCUUUCAUCGAAUUUGUAACUUGCCUGGUACAUCUUCUUAGUUAUCGGAGAGAUCAUUAGAGUAUAUCACUUAGGUCCUUUGCAAGUAGGAUGAAGUAACUAAAUCCAUUUUUGUCAAGCUUUGUGCUCAUGGCAUGUAUCUUAAUAUGAGAAAAAGAUAAAGAGAAUUUAUAAUGAAAUGACAAAAAGGACAAUAGUGCAUGUUUCCAACCAUGAAUUUUUAAUUCAGAUGCUUUCUAUCGGUCACAUUGAAGACUUGAGCUAUGCAUACAGCCAUACGGGUCCAGACAUUGGAUGUCUUUU